This 255-nucleotide ribosomal RNA is filed under the name uncultured bacterium. RNAcentral's name for it is "partial 16S ribosomal RNA". It matches the Rfam family "Bacterial small subunit ribosomal RNA", at positions 524 to 777 of the family's 1533-position model. The record is from RNAcentral.
UACGUAGGGUGCAAGCGUUAAUCGGAAUUACUGGGCGAAAGCGUGCGCAGGCGGUUGUGUAAGACAGAUGUGAAAUCCCCGGGCUCAACCUGGGAACUGCAUUUGUGACUGCACGGGCUGGAGUGCGGCAGAGGGGGGAUGGAAUUCCGCGUGUAGCAGUGAAAUGCGUAGAUAUCGGGAGGAACACCAGUGGCGAAGGCGACUUCCUGGCCUGUUCUUGACGCUGAGGCGCGAAAGCUAGGGUAGCAAACGGGG